Molecule: ribosomal RNA, 199 nt
Filed under: Candidatus Bathyarchaeota archaeon
Lineage: Archaea; Thermoproteati; Candidatus Bathyarchaeota
Description: partial 16S ribosomal RNA
Rfam family: Archaeal small subunit ribosomal RNA
Source: RNAcentral
GAAUCCCUAGUAAUCGCGCGUCACUAGCGCGCGGUGAAUACGUCCCUGCUCCUUGCACACACCGCCCGUCGUUCCACCCGAGCGACUCUUGGGUGAGGCGUGGUCUUGUUGGCUGCGUCGAAUCCAGGUUUCGUGAGGGGGGAAAAGUCGUAACAAGGUGGCCGUAGGGGAACCUGCGGCCGGAUCACCUCCUAAGAAA